UGCGUUGUGCAGGAGGUCGGAUUAGAUGAUCAUAAUGGUCCCUUUUGACCUUAGUAUCUAUGAAUCUAUCUGGCCAAAGGGUUGCAUCCUUUUCCAUCAGAGGCAGAAAGAUUGCUAUGAUUCACACCAUUUUUAACACAGAUUAGACUACUGCAAAGCUCUCUACAUGCAGCUACACCUUCAGUCAGUUCAGAAUCUGAAGCUAGUGCAGAAGGCAGAGGUUUGCUUCUUAAAUGGAGUUUGUCACAAACACAUUGUCCAUCACCCCAACAACCAGAACUAGACCAAAGUAUUACAGCCUGCCUUCACUCCCAGAGUGAGAGCUGAGGGUCUGCUCUCCUUCCCAGCCAGCCAGCAACUCUCCCUCUUUAGCUCCUCCCUCAAAGUCUGACAUGUGCUGCAGGUGCCAUGGGACAUGGCUGAUUGGGCUCCCCAGCAGCCCAUUAACCCUUUCUUGACUUGUGUGUGGUUUUUACACCCCAUCACAUCCAUGCAUCAUUUAUCUAGGCAUUAACUGCUUACAAGUUUCAAAGCUACUUUUAGGGGCAGUAGUGUUAUUGCAGGACACACCUCAUCCACCCAAAACCUUAAAAGCAGGGAAAUAAGUGAAGGGAAAGACUUGUGCAUUCCUUUUCACCUUCAUGCUGCUUCCAUCACUCUUGAUAAUGCAAUCCAAAGAGUAAACAGGAAGACGAUUAUGGUGCAGUGAUAGCUUUUACUUCUAUCUCCAAUUGAUAUACAAAUGCAAUGUACCCCAUCUUUGUCAAAUUUGCACUCUAAUACAAAACUUUAACAGUGACCUCGUGCUUUUAUAUCAACAGAUUUGCAUGCCUGAUUGUCACAUGCUCUAUGCAUCUGGGAAAUUAUUUUGACUUAACACUGCUGAGGUCAUUAUUAAGAAGUGUGUUGGAGUGCAAGUUUGAAGAAGUUGGGAAUAUGUAUAGCUUUGGGGUAACAGCUGGAGAUGAAAGUGAAAGCUAUCACUGCACCAUAAUUCGGAGCUGUAAGCAGACUGAAAAAUUGCUAGAGUUCUCUGACUCUCUUGGACAACUGAAUAGCUUAGUAAACGUUGGAGUGUUGAGCUCAAUUUGAAUCUUCCUGAGAUUUUGUACACAAAUAAAGGAGUAGGCAUUGGACAUUCUCCAAAGAGUCUAAAAAGACAGUGAGGGAACAUCUAAGUAAACAAGAGGCUGUUGCUGGAUUGUGCUGGCACUCAUCAUGUUCUAAAUGGGUUCCAAACAUAGAGGAAGACACAGUCCUUACCCUGAAGAAUGUAAAAGCAAAGAAACAGCAACAACUCUCAAAGAACAAAACAAAGGAAGGAGAGUUCACAGACUGGAAAGGGACACAGCCUGUGAAAUAUAUUGCCGCUCAUGGUGAGACAAACCUUUUACUUUUAAGCCUAUUAGCCUGAUAAAGUUUAGGAAUUAGCUUGCAUGUUUAUCCUUUUAUUUCUUUUGCAACCAAUUCUGACUUUUAUGCCUUACUACUUAUAAUCACUUAAAAUUUGUCUUUCUCUAGUUAAUAAACUCGUGUCAUUGUUUUAUCUAAAUCAGUGUGUUUGGAUUGAAGUGUUCGGGAAACCUCCACUUGAGACAAGUGCAGACAAUUAUUUCCUUUGUUGAAAUGAUGGACUAUCUAUGAUCUCGCAUGGUUCAGCAGUGCAGUGGACAGUACAAGAUGAACAUUUCAGGGAUGCAAGUCUGGGGAUAUGCAAGUAUCCCCUGUGUAUAAUUCCUGAAUGGCUAUGCAUAGCAUUCAUGUAUUCAGCUGGGGGUGACUACAUGGUAGGGGCUGUGUGUGAGCAGAGCCUAGAAGGGUUUGCUGUUCACCAGCAAAGCAGUGUGUGAUGGGGCACACUCGCCCUGCACUGGACAGGGAAGGGUUAACCCUACAUUGGGUUGAGGAAACCAUGCCCCCUUUGCUCUACUGGGCAUGCUCCAGGUGCACUAAUAUAAAAGGGAGCAGCUCAGCUCAGUUGGGGCUGACCGUCAAGGAGGAAGGAUGUGCUCCACUGGCUCCAGCCAAGGAUAAGCUGAAACCCAAGGUCCUGGAGGCUGGAGACGCUGUAAAUCAGGCAGAUGCUAAGGUACCUACAGAGACCCUGCUGUGUCAGGAGUUGCUGGGGACAACGCAAACCAGGGAACCCGGAGACAACAGAGAUGCCCAGACCAUAGCAUAGAAACUACGGUAGGAAGCAGCCCAGGGGAAUUAGAUACAGGCCCGAUUAGUGAACUGGAGUUUUGAGUCAGUGUGUUUCGGUUGGAAACGCCACCCCCACUGACUCAGUGGCAUGCGCCCUUGCCACUACCAGGGCCUUGGGCUGGAGUCCAGUGGAGAUGGAGUGUCUGGACCCCUCUACCAGGGCCACCACCCCUCUUCUUGUGUGUGGCAGCCUUCUUCCUGACUGACUUUGGCCACUAGGCCUCACUGCCCUGCAGAGAAGGGUGAAUCCAUAGACUCUGACUGCUAGGCCUUACUGCCCUGUCUUCCUGGGGCUAAUGUAUUGAUUGUGGCUACUGGGCCUUACUGCCCCGCUAAAAGGGGCAAACAUAUUGACUUUGGCCAUUGGGCCGCAUUGCCCUGUCUAAUUAGGGCGAAGUUACUGACUGUAGCUGCUGGGACUUGCUGUCGACUGGGGCCAAUG
Dermochelys coriacea (leatherback sea turtle) is the source of this 2647-nucleotide long non-coding RNA. RefSeq lists it as uncharacterized. NCBI's taxonomy places the organism in Eukaryota, Metazoa, Chordata, Testudines, Dermochelyidae. The transcript has 3 exons. The record is from RefSeq and is a predicted model, not a curated record.